GACGAACGCUGGCGGCGUGCUUAACACAUGCAAGUCGAACGGUAAGGCUCCAGCUUGCUGGGGUACACGAGUGGCGAACGGGUGAGUAACACGUGGGUGACCUGCCCUGCACUUCGGGAUAAGCCUUGGAAACUGGGUCUAAUACCGCAUAGGACCGCACCUUGCGUGUGUGGUGGAAAGUUUUUUCGGUGUGGGCUGGGCCAGCGGUCUAUCCGCUUGUUGGUGGGGUAAUGGCCUACCAAGGCGGCGACGGGUAGCCGGCCUGGGAGGGUGGAAGGCCACAGUGGGACUGAGGCACGACCCAGACGCCUACGGGAGGCAGCAGUGGAAGACAUUGCGCAAAGGGCGGAAGCCUGAUGCAGCGACGCCGCGUGGGAGAUGACUGCUUUCGGGUUGUAAACACCUUUCGCCAGGAACGAAGGGUUUGUGACGGUAGAUGGAGAAGAAGCACCGGCUAACUACGUG
Molecule: ribosomal RNA, 465 nt
Filed under: uncultured bacterium
Lineage: Bacteria
Description: partial 16S ribosomal RNA
Rfam family: Bacterial small subunit ribosomal RNA
Source: RNAcentral